RNAcentral lists this ribosomal RNA (426 nucleotides) under uncultured bacterium. RNAcentral describes it as "bacterial SSU rRNA". It matches the Rfam family "Bacterial small subunit ribosomal RNA", at positions 356 to 774 of the family's 1533-position model. The record is from RNAcentral.
GGGGAAUUUUGGACAAUGGGCGAAAGCCUGAUCCAGCAAUGCCGCGUGCAGGAUGAAGGCCUUCGGGUUGUAAACUGCUUUUGUACGGAACGAAAAAGCUUCUCCUAAUACGAGAGGCCCAUGACGGUACUGUAAGAAUAAGCACCGGCUAACUACGUGCCAGCAGCCGCGGUAAUACGUAGGGUGCGAGCGUUAAUCGGAAUUAAUGGGCGUAAAGCGUGCGCAGGCGGUUAUGUAAGACAGAUGUGAAAUCCCCGGGCUCAACCUGGGAACUGCAUUUGUGACUGCAUGGCUAGAGUACGGUAGAGGGGGAUGGAAUUCCGCGUGUAGCAGUGAAAUGCGUAGAUAUGCGGAGGAACACCGAUGGCGAAGGCAAUCCCCUGGACCUGUACUGACGCUCAUGCACGAAAGCGUGGGGAGCAAACA